UGGAAGCGGGUGGCCUGGCAGCCUUUGGCAAGUAUCAGACAUGGCAAGGAGCCCAGAUCACCUGUCAGCAGCUCAGCCACGAGCAGGAAAGCACUUGCUGUGUUAAGAAGUCACGUUUGGGCUGACCUAUGAACUGUGAUCCUUGUUGUAGGUGCUUGGAAGUCCUUUCAGAACCAUGAGAACAGCAGCCAACUGCAGAGAGAAACAGGCUCACCCGUCCAAACACACGACCAGCUUUGCUGCGGAUCAGUUCCAGGCUAUCAGGGUUCUUCUUCUGAGGCAACAGGCUGCUGCCAGUGCUGGAAGAAAGGAAUUGGGAGUGUAACGGUGAGCAAGACCCCAGCCUGUGCAGAUGAAGGCUAAGACAUGCAGCACGCUGGCCCAGCCCUGCAAAAGUGAUUUGUAGCCC
This 409-nucleotide long non-coding RNA is filed under the name Gallus gallus (chicken). RNAcentral's name for it is "long non-coding RNA NONGGAT003453". The record is from RNAcentral. Lineage: Eukaryota; Metazoa; Chordata; Aves; Galliformes; Phasianidae.